CUUCAGUGAUGAUACGAUGACGAGUCAGAAGGGACGUCCUUGCGUGAGCGUAGGCUGGUCGGUGCCAUGUUCUGUGGUGCUGCGCUAAGGCUGCCUUGGGCAGGAUGUCGUACUCAUUGGAUGAUUUAGAGGCAUUUGUCUGAGAAGG
RNAcentral lists this small nucleolar RNA (148 nucleotides) under Apteryx rowi (Okarito brown kiwi). The record is from RNAcentral. Lineage: Eukaryota; Metazoa; Chordata; Aves; Apterygiformes; Apterygidae.